UACGGAGGAUGCGAGCGUUAUCCGGAUUCAUUGGGUUUAAAGGGUGCGCAGGCGGCCUGCCAAGUCAGCGGUGAAAGCCCGGGGCCCAACCCCGGAAGUGCCGUUGAUACUGGUGGGCUGGAAUGCGGUCGAGGCGGGCCGAACGUGGCGUGUAGCGGUGAAAUGCGUAGAUAUGCCACAGAACGCCGAUAGCGAAGGCAGCUCGCCAGGCCUGCAUUGACGCUCGGACACGAAAGCGUGGGGAGCAAAC
RNAcentral lists this ribosomal RNA (250 nucleotides) under uncultured prokaryote. Its description in RNAcentral is "partial 16S ribosomal RNA". It matches the Rfam family "Bacterial small subunit ribosomal RNA", at positions 524 to 773 of the family's 1533-position model. The record is from RNAcentral.